UUGCCUAGUAACGGCGAGUGAAGCGGCAACAGCUCAAAUUUGAAAUCUGGCCUUCGGGUCCGAGUUGUAAUUUGCAGAGGAUGCUUUUGGCGCGGUGCCUUCCGAGUUCCCUGGAACGGGACGCCUUAGAGGGUGAGAGCCCCGUACGGUUGGACACCAAGCCUCUGUAAAGCUCCUUCGACGAGUCGAGUAGUUUGGGAAUGCUGCUCUAAAUGGGAGGUAAAUUUCUUCUAAAGCUAAAUAUUGGCCAGAGACCGAUAGCGCACAAGUAGAGUGAUCGAAAGAUGAAAAGCACUUUGAAAAGAGGGUUAAACAGCACGUGAAAUUGUUGAAAGGGAAGCGUUUGCGACCAGACCUUCUCCUGGCGGAUCAUCCGGUGGUUUCCACCGGUGCACUUCGCCAGGUCGAGGCCAGCAUCGGUCUUUGUAGGGGGAUAAAAGCUCAGGGAACGUAGCUCCUCCGGGAGUGUUAUAGCCCUCCGCAUAAUACCUUUACGGGGACCGAGGACCGCGCCUUCGGGCAAGGAUGCUGGCGUAAUGGCUGUCAACGACCCGUCUUGAAACACGGACCAAGGAGUCGAACAUUUGUGCGAGUGUUUGGGUGUUCAACCCCUCACGCGUAAUGAAAGUGAAACGGAAGGUGAAGAGCCCCUAACGGGCUGCAUCAUACGACCGGAUCCUGAAGUCCUUCGGGAGGUAUUUUGAGUUAGAAGCCUUAACCUGUUUCGGAACCCCAAAAGAAUGGGGCAACUUAUGCCCUGGGAUAUGCCGUGAAGCCCAGGAGGAAAAUCUCUAGGCGGAAGGCCCCGCAGGCGGUUACUU
Molecule: ribosomal RNA, 821 nt
Filed under: Nemania serpens
Lineage: Eukaryota; Fungi; Ascomycota; Sordariomycetes; Xylariales; Xylariaceae
Description: LSU rRNA
Rfam family: Eukaryotic large subunit ribosomal RNA
Source: RNAcentral